This 1376-nucleotide ribosomal RNA is filed under the name Coccocarpia palmicola. RNAcentral's name for it is "eukaryotic LSU rRNA". It matches the Rfam family "Eukaryotic large subunit ribosomal RNA", at positions 65 to 1445 of the family's 3401-position model. Lineage: Eukaryota; Fungi; Ascomycota; Lecanoromycetes; Peltigerales; Coccocarpiaceae. The record is from RNAcentral.
CCAACCGGGAUUGCCUCAGUAACGGCGAGUGAAGCGGCAACAGCUCAAAUUUGAAAUCUGGCCCGCCUCGGCAGGUCCGAGUUGUAAUUUGGAGAGGGUGCUUCGGGUACGGCGUCGGCCUAAGUGCCCAGGAACAGGCCGUCAGAGAGGGUGAGAACCCCGUCCGCGGCCGGCGACCACGCCCGCACGAAGCCCCUUCGACGAGUCGAGUUGUUUGGGAAUGCAGCUCCAAAUGGGUGGUAAAUUCCAUCUAAAGCUAAAUACCGGCCGGAGACCGAUAGCGCACAAGUAGAGUGAUCGAAAGAUGAAAAGCACUUUGGAAAGAGAGUCAAACAGCACGUGAAAUUGUUGAAAGGGAAGCGCUGACGAGCAGACCUGUGCUUCGGCGAUCACCCGGGGGGCGUCGCCCCCGGGGCACUCGCCUGGAGAGCAGGCCAGCAUCGGUUGGCCCGGCGGGACAAAGGGCCCGGGAACGUAGCUCGCCUGCGGGGGAGUCUUAUAGCCCGGGCUGGCAUGUCGCCUGGGUCGACCGAGGACCGCGCUCCGGCUCGGAUGCUGGCGUAAUGGUCGUCAGCGACCCGUCUUGAAACACGGACCAAGGAGUCUAACAUCUAUGCGAGUGUUUGGGUGUCAAACCCCCGGACGCGGAAUGAAAGUGAACGGGGGUGGGAGCCCUUUCGGGGGCGCACCAUCGACCGAUCCUGAUGUCUUCGGAUGGAUUUGAGUAGGAGCAUAGCUGUUGGGACCCGAAAGAUGGUGAACUAUGCCUGAAUAGGGUGAAGCCAGAGGAAACUCUGGUGGAGGCUCGCAGCGGUUCUGACGUGCAAAUCGAUCGUCGAAUUUGGGUAUAGGGGCGAAAGACCAAUCGAACCAUCUAGUAGCUGGUUCCUGUCGAAGUUUCCCUCAGGAUAGCAGUAACGUUCCCCAGUUUUAUGAGGUAAAGCGAAUGAUUAGAGGCCUUGGGGUCGCAACGACCUUAACCUAUUCUCAAACUUUAAAUAUGUAAGAAGUCCCUGUUGCUUCGGUGAACGGGGACCGUCGAAUGGGUCGUUAUUAGUGGGCCAUUUUUGGUAAGCAGAACUGGCGAUGCGGGAUGAACCGAACGCGAGGUUAAGGUGCCGGAAUGCACGCUCAUCAGACACCACAAAAGGUGUUAAUUCAUCCAGACAGCCGGACGGUGGCCAUGGAAGUCGGAAUCCGCUAAGGAGUGUGUAACAACUCACCGGCCGAAUGAAUUAGCCCUGAAAAUGGAUGGCGCUCAAGCGUGCUACCCAUACCUCGCCGCCCGGGUGGGUUCGAUGCCCGGGCGAGUAGGCAGGCGUGGGGGUCCGUGACGAAGCCUCGGGGGUGACCUCGGGUCGAACGGCCCCUAGUGC